CAAAGGCUUGGUCCUGACUUUACUAUCAGCUCUAACUAUACUUACACAUGCAAGUAUCCGCCCCCCUGUGAGAAUGCCCUACAGUUCUCUCAUGAGAACAAGGAGCUGGCAUCAGGCACAAUCCUCUGCAUUUGCCCACGACGCCUUGCUCAGCCACACCCCCACGGGAACUCAGCAGUGAUAAACCUUAAGCAAUGAGCGAAAGCUCGACUCAGUUAAAGUUAAUAGGGCCGGUAAAACUCGUGCCAGCCACCGCGGUUAUACGAGAGGCCCAAGUUGAUAAACAUCGGCGUAAAGCGUGGUUAGGGUGAAUUAUUAAACACUAAAGCCGAACGCCCUCCGAGCUGUUAAACGCCUGCCGAGGGUAAGAAGCCCCACCACGAAAGUGGCUUUACUCCACCUGAUUCCACGAGGGCCAAGAUACAAACUGGGAUUAGAUACCCCACUAUGCCUGGCCAUAAACAUUGAUAUGUCAACACGCCCACAUAUCCGCCCGGGGACUACAAGCGUCAGCUUGAAACCCAAAGGACUUGGCGGUGCUUUAGACCCACCUAGAGGAGCCUGUUCUAUAACCGAUAACCCCCGUUCAACCUCACCCUCCCUUGUUUUACCCGCCUAUAUACCGCCGUCGUCAGCUUACCCUUUGAGGGCUUAACAGUAAGCAAAAUUAGCACAGCCCAGAACGUCAGGUCGAGGUGUAGCGUAUGAGAGGGGAAGAAAUGGGCUACAUUCACUAGCCUAGUGAAUCACGGAAGAUGUACUGAAAACGUACAGCCGAAGGAGGAUUUAGCAGUAAGUAGAGAAUAGAGCGCUCUACUGAAACUGGCCCUGAAGCACGCACACACCGCCCGUCACCCUUCCCAGAACAAUAACCCUACGUACAUAAAACAACAAAAACUCUAAGGGGAGGCAAGUCGUAACAUGGUAAGUGCACCGGAAGGUGUACUUGGAAAAAU
Molecule: non-coding RNA, 956 nt
Filed under: Aeoliscus strigatus (razorfish)
Lineage: Eukaryota; Metazoa; Chordata; Actinopteri; Syngnathiformes; Centriscidae
Description: 12S ribosomal RNA
Rfam family: Bacterial small subunit ribosomal RNA
Source: RNAcentral